AUGGACUAUCUCCAUGUGCACACAGGUCUGCCUCUUAAUUCAACUACUGAAAUUAGGGACAAUAUCGGCAAGAGCACUUGGGUAAUAAGAGAACCAGCAGGAGCAGAAGUGGGUAUCGAGAUAUCAUGGGAAAAACUGCCCAUUUCUGUUUUGUCCACUUUGCUUUGGGAAGUGAGAGCUAUACUCAUUAUCACCACAUCCCCUGGCAUCCAACUCCGUUUCUUUGGCAGUCUUAGAAUAAAGCAGUCUAACAAGGAUACCCAGAAAUUGAACUCAGCUCUGCACCAAGUGGACCUAAUAGACAUCUACAGAACUCUCCACCCCACAUCAACAGAAUAUACAUUCUUUUCAGCACCACACCACACCUACUCCAAAACUGACCACAUAGUUGGAAGUAAAGCACUCCUCAGCAAAUGUAACAGAACAGAAAUGAUAACAAACUGUCUCUCAGACCACAGUGCAAUCAAACUAGAAUGCAGGAUUAAGAAACUCACUCAAAACCACUCAACUACAUGGAAACUGAACAACCUGCUCUUGAAUGACUACUGGGUAACUAAUGAAAUGAAGGCAGAAAUAAAGAUGUUCUUUGAAACCGACAAGAACAAAGACAAAACAUACCAGAAUCUCUGGGACACAUUCAAAGCAGUGUGUAGAGGGAAAUUUAUAGCACUAAAUGCCCACAAGAGAAAGCAGGAAAGAUCUAAAAUUGACACCCUAACAUCACAAUUAAAAAGAGCUAGAAAAGCAAGAGCAAACACAUUCAAAAGCUAGCAGAAGGCAAGAAAUAACUAAGAUCAGAGCAGAACUGAAGGAAAUAGAGACACAAAAAACCCUUCAAAAAAUUAAUGAAUCCAAGAGCUGGUUUUUUGAAAAGAUCAACAAAAUUGAUAGACC
Molecule: long non-coding RNA, 894 nt
Filed under: Pan paniscus (pygmy chimpanzee)
Lineage: Eukaryota; Metazoa; Chordata; Mammalia; Primates; Hominidae
Description: lncRNA (ENSPPAG00000045544.1)
Source: RNAcentral